This 563-nucleotide ribosomal RNA is filed under the name uncultured bacterium. Its description in RNAcentral is "bacterial SSU rRNA". It matches the Rfam family "Bacterial small subunit ribosomal RNA", at positions 338 to 916 of the family's 1533-position model. The record is from RNAcentral.
CCUACGGGAGGCAGCAGUGGGGAAUAUUGGACAAUGGGCGAAAGCCUGAUCCAGCAAUGCCGCGUGAGUGAUGAAGGCCUUAGGGUUGUAAAGCUCUUUUACCAGGGAUGAUAAUGACAGUACCUGGAGAAUAAGCUCCGGCUAACUCCGUGCCAGCAGCCGCGGUAAUACGGAGGGAGCUAGCGUUGUUCGGAAUUACUGGGCGUAAAGCGUACGUAGGCGGUUAUUCAAGUCAGAGGUGAAAGCCCGGGGCUCAACCCCGGAACUGCCUUUGAAACUAGAUAGCUAGAAUCUUGGAGAGGUUAGUGGAAUUCCGAGUGUAGAGGUGAAAUUCGUAGAUAUUCGGAAGAACACCAGUGGCGAAGGCGACUAACUGGACAAGUAUUGACGCUGAGGUACGAAAGCGUGGGGAGCAAACAGGAUUAGAUACCCUGGUAGUCCACGCCGUAAACGAUGAUAACUAGUUGUUCGGGCACUUGGUGCCUGAGUGACGCAGCUAACGCAUUAAGUUAUCCGCCUGGGGAGUACGGUCGCAAGAUUAAAAACUCAAAAUGAAUUGACGG